GAUGAACGCUAGCGGGAGGCUUAACACAUGCAAGUCGAGGGGUAUAAUUAGCAAUAAUUAGAGACCGGCGCACGGGUGAGUAACGCGUAUGCAACCUGCCCUUUACAGGAGGAUAGCCCGUAGAAAUGCGGAUUAAUACCCCAUAGUUCUGUCAGAUCGCAUGGUUUGACAGAUAAAGUUUCGGCGGUAAAGGAUGGGCAUGCGUGACAUUAGCUAGUUGGUGAGGUAACGGCUCACCAAGGCUACGAUGUCUAGGGGUUCUGAGAGGAAGAUCCCCCACACUGGUACUGAGACACGGACCAGACUCCUACGGGAGGCAGCAGUGAGGAAUAUUGGUCAAUGGGCGAGAGCCUGAACCAGCCAUCCCGCGUGCAGGAAGAAUGCCCUAUGGGUUGUAAACUGCUUUUUCGCAUGAAGAACACCCCUGACGUGUCAGAGGCUGACGGUAAUGCGUGAAUAAGCACCGGCUAACUCCGUGCCAGC
RNAcentral lists this ribosomal RNA (483 nucleotides) under uncultured bacterium. RNAcentral describes it as "bacterial SSU rRNA". It matches the Rfam family "Bacterial small subunit ribosomal RNA", at positions 28 to 512 of the family's 1533-position model. The record is from RNAcentral.